This 499-nucleotide ribosomal RNA is filed under the name uncultured bacterium. RNAcentral describes it as "bacterial SSU rRNA". It matches the Rfam family "Bacterial small subunit ribosomal RNA", at positions 9 to 518 of the family's 1533-position model. The record is from RNAcentral.
GGGUUCGAUUCUGGCUCAGAACGAACGCUGGUGGCGUGUCUUAUACAUGCAAGUCGAGCGGUCCGCAAGGAUAGCGGCGAACGGGUGAGUAACGCGUAAGCAAUCUGCCCCGCAUAUUGGGAUAGCCGUGCCAACGCGCGGAUAAUACCGAAUAACGUGGCCCCGGACAUCCGGGGUUGACGAAAGAUUCAUCGAUGCGGGAUGAGCUUGCGUCCGAUUAGCUAGUUGGCGGGCAACGGCCCACCAAGGCGACGAUCGGUAGCCCGGCCUGAGAGGGUGAUCGGCCACAGUUGGGACUGAGAUACGGCCCAGACUCCGUACGGGAGGCAGCAGGUAGGGAAUAUUGCACAAUGGGGGAAACCCUGAUGCAGCAACGCCCACGUGUGGGAAGAAGCAUUUCGGUGUGUAAACCACUGUCGUGAGGGAAUAAUACGCGUCUUCGGGCGCGGGAGAAUGUACCUCGAAAGGAAGCACCGGCAAACUUCGUGCCAGCCGCGGC